RNAcentral lists this ribosomal RNA (942 nucleotides) under Macrobrachium dienbienphuense. RNAcentral's name for it is "SSU rRNA". It matches the Rfam family "Eukaryotic small subunit ribosomal RNA", at positions 411 to 1319 of the family's 1831-position model. Lineage: Eukaryota; Metazoa; Arthropoda; Malacostraca; Decapoda; Palaemonidae. The record is from RNAcentral.
CACAUCCAAGGAAGGCAGCAGGCACGCAAAUUACCCAAUCCCAGCUCUGGGAGGUAGUGACGAAAAAUAACAAUGCGGGACUCUUCCGAGUCUGCGUAAUUGGAAUGAGCACACUUUAAAUCCUUUAGCAACAACCAAUUGGAGGGCAAGUCUGGUGCCAGCAGCCGCGGUAAUUCCAGCUCCAAUAGCGUAUAUUAAAGUUGUUGCGGUUAAAAAGCUCGUAGUUCGAUUUGAGUUGCGGACUGGUGUGGGAGGUCACCGCCCGGUGCUUGCCCGCCAGGUUCCGAACAGCUUCCGUGAGUGGAAGCCAAGCCGGUUCUGCCGGGGUGCUCUUUACCGAGUGUCCCGCGCGGCCGGCCAGUUCACCUUGAAUAAAUGAGAGUGCUCAAAGCAGGCUACUCUGGAAUACAAUGCCCGAAUGUUAGCUGCAUGGAAUGAUGGAAGAUGAUCUCGGUUGCAUUUUGUUGGUGGUGGCAGCCAGAGGUAAUGAUAAAGAGGGACUGUCGGGGGCAUCCGUACUACGACGCGAGAGGUGAAAUUCAGUGACCGUCGUAGGACGAACAACAGCGAAAGCAUUUGCCAAGAAUGUCUUCGUUGAUCAAGAACGAAAGUUAGAGGAUCGAAGGCGAUCAGAUACCGCCCUAGUUCUAACCCUAAACGAUGCUGACUAGCAAUUCGCCGUCGUUAUUCCCAUGACGUGGCGAGACGCCCCCGGGAAACCUCAAGUCUUUGAGUUCCGGGGGUAGUAUGGUUGCAAAAGUGAAACUUAAAGGAAUUGACGGAAGGGCACCACCAGGAGUGGAGCCUGCGGCUUAAUUUGACUCAACACGGGGAAGCUCACCAGGCCCGGACACCAGAAGGAUUGACAGAUUAAGAGCUCUUUCUCGAUUUGGUGGGUGGUGGUGCAUGGCCGUUCUUAGUUGGUGGAGUGAUUUGUCUGGU